This 526-nucleotide ribosomal RNA is filed under the name uncultured bacterium. RNAcentral describes it as "bacterial SSU rRNA". It matches the Rfam family "Bacterial small subunit ribosomal RNA", at positions 8 to 527 of the family's 1533-position model. The record is from RNAcentral.
AGGGUUUGAUCAUGGCUCAGGAUGAACGCUAGCGGCAGGCUUAACACAUGCAAGUCGAGGGGUAACAGGGAUUGCUUGCAAUCCGCUGACGACCGGCGCACGGGUGCGUAACGCGUAUGCAACCUACCUUUUACAAGGGGAUAGCCCAGAGAAAUUUGGAAUAAUACCCUAUACGAUCAUUAAUUGGCAUCAAUUAAUGAAGAAAACUCCGGUGGUAAAAGAUGGGCAUGCGUCCUAUUAGUUAGUUGGUAAGGUAACGGCUUACCAAGACUUCGAUAGGUAGGGGUCCUGAGAGGGAGAUCCCCCACACUGGUACUGAGACACGGACCAGACUCCUACGGGAGGCAGCAGUGAGGAAUAUUGGACAAUGGAGGCAACUCUGAUCCAGCCAUGCCGCGUGCAGGAAGACGGCCCUACGGGUUGUAAACUGCUUUUAUACAGGAAGAACUAUAUCUACGUGUAGAUAUUUGACGGUACUGUACGAAUAAGGAUCGGCUAACUCCGUGCCAGCAGCCGCGGUAAUUCA